RNAcentral lists this ribosomal RNA (253 nucleotides) under uncultured bacterium. Its description in RNAcentral is "partial 16S ribosomal RNA". It matches the Rfam family "Bacterial small subunit ribosomal RNA", at positions 524 to 776 of the family's 1533-position model. The record is from RNAcentral.
UACGGAGGAGGCAAGCGAUAUACGGAGUUAUUGGGCGUAAAGCGUCAGUAGGUGGUUGACCGAGUCUGCUGACAAAGGGUGGGGCUUAACCUCAUAUAGGCAGUGGAAACUGGAGAGCUAGAGUGCGGUAGGGGUAAGGGGAAUACCCAGUGUAGCGGUGAUAUGCGUAGAGAUUGGGAAGAACAUCGGUGGCGAAAGCGCCUUGCUGGGCCUGCACUGACACUGAGGGACGAACGCUAGUGGUGCGGCAGGG